CCUACGGGAGGCAGCAGUGGGGAAUUUUGGACAAUGGGCGCAAGCCUGAUCCAGCCAUGCCGCGUGUGGGAAGAAGGCCUUCGGGUUGUAAACCACUUUUGUCAGGGAAGAAACGGUCUGAACUAAUACUUUGGACUAAUGACGGUACCUGAAGAAUAAGCACCGGCUAACUACGUGCCAGCAGCCGCGGUAAUACGUAGGGUGCAAGCGUUAAUCGGAAUUACUGGGCGUAAAGCGUGCGCAGGCGGCUUUGCAAGACAGAUGUGAAAUCCCCGGGCUCAACCUGGGAACUGCAUUUGUGACUGCAUGGCUAGAGUACGGUAGAGGGGGAUGGAAUUCCGCGUGUAGCAGUGAAAUGCGUAGAUAUGCGGAGGAACACCGAUGGCGAAGGCAAUCCCCUGGACCUGUACUGACGCUCAUGCACGAAAGCGUGGGGAGCAAACAGGAUUAGAUACCCUGGUAGUCCACGCCCUAAACGAUGUCAACUGGUUGUUGGGAGGGUUUCUUCUCAGUAACGAGCUAACGCGUAGAAGUUGACCGCGUGGGGAGUCGGCCGNGAAGGUUAGAACUCAAAUGAAGUUGACGGCGUGAGACGCGACGACGGACGACGACGAGGGAGGAGG
RNAcentral lists this ribosomal RNA (623 nucleotides) under uncultured bacterium. Its description in RNAcentral is "bacterial SSU rRNA". It matches the Rfam family "Bacterial small subunit ribosomal RNA", at positions 338 to 957 of the family's 1533-position model. The record is from RNAcentral.